This 497-nucleotide ribosomal RNA is filed under the name uncultured bacterium. RNAcentral describes it as "partial 16S ribosomal RNA". It matches the Rfam family "Bacterial small subunit ribosomal RNA", at positions 28 to 507 of the family's 1533-position model. The record is from RNAcentral.
GAUGAACGCUGGCGGCGUGCCUAAUACAUGCAAGUCGAGCGAACAGACGAGGAGCUUGCUCCUUUGACGUUAGCGGCGGACGGGUGAGUAACACGUGGGUAACCUACCUAUAAGACUGGGAUAACUUCGGGAAACCGGAGCUAAUACCGGAUAAUAUUUCGAACCGCAUGGUUCGAUAGUGAAAGAUGGCUUUGCUAUCACUUAUAGAUGGACCUGCGCCGUAUUAGCUAGUUGGUAAGGUAACGGCUUACCAAGGCAACGAUACGUAGCCGACCUGAGAGCGUGAUCGGCCACCCUGGAACUGAGACACGGUCCAGACUCCUACGGGAGGCAGCAGUAGGGAAUCUUCCGCAAUGGGCGAAAGCCUGACGGAGCAACGCCGCGUGAGUGAUGAAGGUCUUCGGAUCGUAAAACUCUGUUAGUAGGGAAGAACAAACGUGUAAGUAACUGUGCACGUCUUGACGGUACCUAAUCAGAAAGCCACGGCUAACUACGUG